ACAUGACCUGCUCCACAUAUGAUGUCAUUUCCUCCUUAAGAAAAGACUGGCCAGACUCCGAGGCUUUCUGAGUUAUUUAAUAUAAAGUAGUGUGUGAGUCAAGUGCGGAUUUAUGGCAUGUCAACAGGUUUACUGCAAUAUCUUUAUAAAUUGUAUAUAUAAUAUUUAGAAGAAUCUUUGUGUAGAAAUGCCAUGUGGUGUUUGGUUAUAGGCGGCCAUGUUGAUUUUAGGACUAAGAAAGCAGCAAAAAUGUCAACUAUGAUACCUGUCAACUAUGUUACAAAAAGUCCUGCAGUUAUAUAUUGACCCAUCUGCAGUUAAACUCGGCAAAGUUGCUGCUAGCUAAAGCAAAGUGUCAGUUCAGUGUGUGUGUGUGUGUGUGUGUGUGUGUGUGUGUGUGUGUGUGUGUGUGUGUGUGUGUGUGUGUGUGUGUGUGUGUGUGUGUGUGUGUGUGUGUGCAGUCAGAAGUUCAAAAGGUUAUUGGGAGGUUUUUUACGGCCCCACGCCGCCCCUCCAACACACACAUACAGAGUUUCAUGCCCGACUAUGCUACUGAAACCAGCAGCAACCCAAGACACCAUCCAUCAGCAUUCCACCUUAGCGUUUUACUUUUGUUGCUGCCUGCUGCUCGUAUUUAUAGCUCGGUAACGAAGGGCAGAAAAAGCGUGGAGGGGAAGGGGAAGGUGUCAAGCUGAUUGCAUAAUGCUGACGCUUGUUACCUCCAGCCGCUGCAGGUACUCGCCUUCCAGCUCCUCCCGCCUGCUGCUUCGCAAUCUGCAGCCGAGAUCCCAACGGCCGUCAUCACUAAAGGUGAUAAUUUUAUUGCCCCGCACAAAGUUAUAAACACCCCAAAUGAUAUAUGUGAGACCUCCAGCACAAUCGGCGCACACCGUACGUUUCAUACAUGGAGGCUGAGGCGGAAAAUAGCUCAUCCCUGACACAGAUAACCAUGCAGCCAUAUGGUAGGAGGCCUGUUCUCUGAGGGGGGAGAUGAGCGAUAGAAGUGCAGCCAGAGUGAGGAGCUCCAAGCUUCAGAGAGAUUUCCAUCCAGCUUGAGGGAAAAAAGGCUUGUUGGACUGUCUGACAGAUAGAGACUGUUUUCACAAGACAUAAUUAGCCAGAAGAAACCGGUUUUAGUUUCAUGUUUAAAACUCUCAGAUUUUCAGAAGUGUUCCCGAGAGAUGACUCACAGAAGUCUCAUUAUAACAGCAGCACGGGCCUUUUUAUCUCUGCCUCCUUCUCAGCUGCAAUACGAGAUGUCGACGGCAGACUGGAGAGGAAGACAACAGGUCCCUCUCUAUCUCCCCACACAUCCACCAACCACUGGAACACAUCUCCAAAGUUCUGCUGGUCCAGCUCAGCUUCCCCUCAGAAGAAGUGCAACCACCUGCCAGAUGAAGGAGCCUUUUGAGAGGCAGCUGGCAUCGUGAUUGGACUGUACUUUGGUCUGUUCCAAUCCAGCUUCAGCUCCAGAGACGGCAGGCGGGACGAGUCAACGGAGGCCGGAUGGACGAAGACAUGCAGCUGAGUACAAUCCAGAAAACAACAGAGGAGGAAUGCAGCAGCCCAGGGCCAGAACAACCAGAGUAGCAUCGUAUUUCUCUUAGAAAACAUCAUAGUAUAGCCUUUGAUCAAAGAACUACAGACUCUUCACAACCUGCUCAAACUCUUGGUACAGGACCUCACCACACGGGUCAAGAAGGUUUCCUUCUCAUUUCUACUCUGAAGCUCACCUUGUCCUGCUCAAACUGCUGACAAAUGUUUCUGCUGCUCUAAAGUCUGAUCUCCAGAACUUCCUAAAAACUCUCAAAGUCUCUUCUGCUGCAGGUUGCUUUGUAGAACUGUUCCAGAAAACCUCACUAAACCACAUGGAGGGGCCUCAAGAUAGUCGUCCAAAUGAAACUGUACAAAAACCAAACUAGCACAACCCAAACACUAAAGUCUCCUGCAGCCUACCAGAGAACCUCUGAGAACAGAGAAUCAGGACAGGAACUCUUACCUUCUGGACAACCAACGUUGGUUCUCAAACAAGAAUACAGAAUGUGUCUGACCAAAAACCUCUGAAGACUCACUACAGCCAAGAUAAAGACACAACUCAGCUGUACCAAAUCCACUAAUCACUGCACACAUUAGCACCAUGUGCUAACUGUGGCUAAAGAACCACAUUUACCAAGACAACUAUCCAGUCCAAAGCCCUAAAACACACCAAGAAACACAUUAAAGACGAUUUUACUGCUGGAAGCUGCAAGCCAACGCCUAACCAACAAACCAAAGCAACGGAGCCAAACCCAGUUCUGUGGUGAAGAGAAACAGAGGAAAUGUUUGGCUGCAGCCACAUGAAGCAGGAAGACACUGAGCUGCUCAGGUGUUCCUGAUAACACCAAGCAGCCACCUGGACAGCCAAUAGGAACACAGCUUCCUGGAAGUCCAGAGGGCUGGGUUAGUGAAGGAAAUUUAGUUUAAAGUUGAAGCAGAAAGUUAACAAAGAAAGUUGAAAACCACCUUCUGAUACCUGAAAUCUCUGAGUUUUCACACAAAGAACGCCUGAACAUGUCAAACUGGUUCCAUAGUAGAACCAUCAUUGUAAAAACGUCAUAGUAUGGUGUGUUGCUCAAAAAACAUUACAACCCGGCUGUCUAGGGUCGCCGAGGAGCAACACAAAAACAGGACAAACUUUGGUUUCCAGGGGGUUAGGAGGAUAUUUAUUUGAAAGAGGAAGUUUACAACAACACAACAUGUGAGCAGAAAAAUCACAGUCUGUCUUUAGUUCAGCUGAAAAUAUUAUUUUUUGUCUUUUUUAUUGACCAAACUUUUCAGGAAGUAGAAAGAAAAACGUCUUAGUUCAGUAUGUCGUCCAAAAUGUGGAACAAAACGCCAUAGUUUAGUAUGUGGUCCAAAAUGUGGAAAAAAACUCCAUAGUUUAGUGUGUCAUUAACGAUGUCACUAAAACAUAAGAUAUAUUUUAGAUGACAUACUAAACUAUUACGUUUUCUUUUUCUUUAAGGUUAUUUUUUUUGGCUUUACUCAAUAGGCGCAGUGUGAGACAGACAGGAAAUGGGAAAGACAUGCAGCAAAGGGCCACGAGCGGGAAUCGAACCUGCACCACUGCAUCAGGGACCAGUCCCUAUACAUAAGUCACCCACUUAACCUGUUGAGCUAUACGGACGACAAACUAUGAUGUUUUUUUCAUGUUUUGGACGACACACUAAACCAUGACGUUUUUGUUACAUUUUUGACGACAAACUAUGAUGUUUUUUUCACAUUUUGGACGACAUACUAAACUAUGACAUUUUUGUCCUAUUUUGGACGACAUACUAAAAUAUGACUUUUUUGUCAUAUUUUGGACGACAUACUAAACUAUGACGUUUUGUCAUAUUUUGGAUGACAUACUAAACUAUGACGUUUUUGUCAUAUUUUGGAUGACAUACUAAACUAUGACGUUUUUGUCAUAUUUUGGACGACAUACUAAACUAUAACGUUUUGUCAUAUUUUGGACGACAUACUAAACUAUGACGUUUUUGUCAUAUUUUGGAUGACAUACUAAACUGACGUUUUUGUCAUAUUUUGGACGACAUACUAAACUAUGACGUUUUGUCAUAUUUUGGAUGACAUACUAAACUAUGACGUUUUUGUCAUAUUUUGGACGACAUACUAAACUAUAACGUUUUGUCAUAUUUUGGACGACAUACUAAACUAUGACGUUUUUGUCAUAUUUUGGAUGACAUACUAAACUGACGUUUUUGUCAUAUUUUGGACGACAUACUAAACUAUGACGUUUUGUCAUAUUUUGGAUGACAUACUAAACUAUGACGUUUUUGUCAUAUUUUGGAUGACAUACUAAACUAUGACGUUUUUGUCAUAUUUUGGACGACAUACUAAACUGACGUUUUUGUCAUAUUUUGGACGACAUACUAAACUAUGACAUUUUGGUCACAUUUUGGACGACAUACUAAACUAUGAAGGUUUUUUUCAUAUUUUGGAUGACAUACUAAACUGACUUUUUUUCACAUUUUGGACGACAUACUAAACUGUGAUGUUUUUGUCAUAUUUUGGACGACAAACUAUGAUGUUUUUUUCAUGUUUUGGACGACUUACUAAACUGACGUUUUUGGUCACAUUUUGGACGACAUACUAAACUAUGACAUUUUUGUCAGAUUUUGGACGACAUACUAAACUAUGACGUUUUUGUCAUAUUUUGGAUGACAUACUAAACUGACGUUUUUUUCAUAUUUUGGACGACAUACUAAACUAUGACUUUUUUUCACAUUUUGGACGACAUACUAAACUAUGACGUUUUGUCAUAUUUUGGAUGACAUACUAAACUAUGACGUUUUUGUCAUACUUUGGAUGACAUACUAAACUAUGACGUUUUUGUCAUAUUUUGGACGACAUACUAAACUAUGACGUUUUUGUCAUAUUUUGGAUGACAUACUAAACUGACGUUUUGUCAUAUUUUGGAUGACAUACUAAACUAUGACGUUUUUGUCAUAUUUUGGAUGACAUACUAAACUAUAACGUUUUGUCAUAUUUUGGACGACAUACUAAACUAUGACGUUUUGUCAUAUUUUGGACGACAUACUAAACUAUGACGUUUUUGUCAUAUUUUGGAUGACAUACUAAACUAUGACGUUUUUGUCAUAUUUUGGACGACAUACUAAACUGACGUUUUUGUCAUAUUUUGGACGACAUACUAAACUAUGACAUUUUGGUCACAUUUUGGACGACAUACUAAACUAUGAAGGUUUUUUUCAUAUUUUGGAUGACAUACUAAACUGACUUUUUUUCACAUUUUGGACGACAUACUAAACUGUGAUGUUUUUGUCAUAUUUUGGACGACAAACUAUGAUGUUUUUUUCAUGUUUUGGACGACUUACUAAACUGACGUUUUUGGUCACAUUUUGGACGACAUACUAAACUAUGACAUUUUUGUCAGAUUUUGGACGACAUACUAAACUAUGACGUUUUUGUCAUAUUUUGGAUGACAUACUAAACUGACGUUUUUUUCAUAUUUUGGACGACAUACUAAACUAUGACUUUUUUUCACAUUUUGGACGACAUACUAAACUAUGACGUUUUGUCAUAUUUUGGAUGACAUACUAAACUAUGACGUUUUUGUCAUACUUUGGAUGACAUACUAAACUAUGACGUUUUUGUCAUAUUUUGGACGACAUACUAAACUAUGACGUUUUUGUCAUAUUUUGGAUGACAUACUAAACUGACGUUUUGUCAUAUUUUGGAUGACAUACUAAACUAUGACGUUUUUGUCAUAUUUUGGAUGACAUACUAAACUAUAACGUUUUGUCAUAUUUUGGACGACAUACUAAACUAUGACGUUUUGUCAUAUUUUGGACGACAUACUAAACUGAUGUUUUUGUCAUAUUUUGGAAGACAUACUAAACUAUGACAUUUUGGUCACAUUUUGGACGACAUACUAAACUAUGAAGGUUUUUUUCAUAUUUUGGAUGACAUACUAAACUAUGACAUUUUUGUCAUAUUUUGGAUGACAUACUAAAAUAUGACUUUUUUGUCAUAUUUUGGACGACAAACUAUGAUGUUUUUUUCAUGUUUUGGACGACUUACUAAACUGACGUUUUUGGUCACAUUUUGGACGACAUACUAAACUAUGACAUUUUUGUCAUAUUUUGGACGACAUACUAAACUAUGACAUUUUGGUCAAUUUUGGACGACAUACUAAACUAUGAAGGUUUUUUUCAUAUUUUGGAUGGCAUACUAAACUAUGACAUAUUUGUCAUAUUUUGGAUGACAUACUAAACUAUGAAGUUUUUUUUCAUAUUUUGGAUGACAUACUAAACUAUGACUUUUUUCACAUUUUGGACGACAUACUAAACUGACAUUUUUGUCAUAUUUUGGACGACAUACUAAAAUAUGACUUUUUUGUCAUAUUUUGGACGACAUACUAAACGAUGACGUUUUUGUCAUAUUUUGGACAACAUACUAAAAUAUGACGGUUUUGUUAUAUUUUGGAUGACAUACUAAACUAUGACAUUUUUGUCAUAUUUUGGACGACAUACUAAACUGUGACAUUUUGGUCACAUUUUGGACGACAUGCUAAACUAUGACGUUUUUGUCAUAUUUUGAAUGACAUACUAAACUAUGACGUUUUUGUCAUAUUUUGGACGACAUACUAAACUGACGUUUUUGUCAUAUUUUGUACGACAUACUAAACUAUGACAUUUUGGUCACAUUUUGGACGACAUACUAAACUAUGACGUUUUGUCAUAUUUUGGAUGACAUACUAAACUAUGACGUUUUUGUCAUAUUUUGGAUGACAUACUAUGACGUUUUUGUCAUAUUUUGGACGACAUACUAAACUGACGUUUUGGUCACAUUUUGGACGACAUACUAAACUAUGAAGGUUUUUUUCAUAUUUUGGAUGACAUACUAAACUGACUUUUUUUCACAUUUUGGACGACAUACUAAACUGUGAUGUUUUUGUCAUAUUUUGGACAACAUACUAAACUAUGAUGUUUUUUGUCAUAUUUUGGACGACAAACUAUGAUGUUUUUUUCAUGUUUUGGACGACUUACUAAACUGACGUUUUUGGUCACAUUUUGGACGACAUACUAAACUAUGACAUUUUUGUCAGAUUUUGGACGACAUACUAAACUAUGACGUUUUUGUCAUAUUUUGGAUGACAUACUAAACUGACGUUUUUUUCAUAUUUUGGACGACAUACUAAACUAUGACUUUUUUUCACAUUUUGGACGACAUACUAAACUAUGACGUUUUGUCAUAUUUUGGAUGACAUACUAAACUAUGACGUUUUUGUCAUACUUUGGAUGACAUACUAAACUAUGACAUUUUGGUCACAUUUUGGACGACAUACUAAACUAUGAAGGUUUUUUUCAAAUUUUGGAUGACAUACUAAACUAUGACAUUUUUGUCAUAUUUUGGAUGACAUACUAAAAUAUGACUUUUUUGUCAUAUUUUGGACGACAAACUAUGAUGUUUUUUUCAUGUUUUGGACGACUUACUAAACUGACGUUUUUGUCAUAUUUUGGACGACAUACUAAACCAUGACAUUUUUGUCAUAUUUUGGACGACAUACUAAACUGAUGUUUUUUUCAUAUUUUGGACGACAUACUAAACUAUGACUUUUUUUCACAUUUUGGACGACAUACUAAACUAUGACGUUUUUGUCAUAUUUUGGAUGACAUACUAAACUGAUGUUUUUUUCAUAUUUUGGAUGACAUACUAAACUAUGACUUUUUUUCACAUUUUGGACGACAUACUAAACUGACAUUUUUGUCAUAUUUUGGACGACAUACUAAAAUAUGACUUUUUUGUCAUAUUUUGGACGACAUACUAAACGAUGACGUUUUUGUCAUAUUUUGGACAACAUACUAAAAUAUGACGGUUUUGUUAUAUUUUGGACGACAUACUAAACUAUGACAUUUUUGUCAUAUUUUGGACGACAUACUAAACUGUGACAUUUUGGUCACAUUUUGGACGACAUGCUAAACUAUGACGUUUUUGUCAUAUUUUGAAUGACAUACUAAACUAUGACGUUUUUGUCAUAUUUUGGACGACAUACUAAACUGACGUUUUUGUCAUAUUUUGGACGACAUACUAAACUAUGACGUUUUUAUCAUAUUUUGGACGACAUACUAAACUAUGACAUUUUGGUCACAUUUUGGACGACAUACUAAACUAUGAAGGUUUUUUUCAUAUUUUGGAUGACAUACUAAACUAUGACUUUUUUUCACAUUUUGGACGACAUACUAAACUAUGAUGUUUUGGUCACAUUUUGGACAACAUACUAAACUAUGAUGUUUUUUUUCCACAUUUUUGAUGACAUACUAUGACGUUUUUUAUACAAUUUCGACAACAUACUAAAAGAUGACGUAUUUGUGAUAUCUUAGAUUACAUACUAAACUACUAGAAAAGUGGUUCGGAACAAGCCUGGAGAAGCUACAAACCAGACUGUCUUGCCCCUACAGUAAAACAUGGGGGUGGAUCAGUGAUGAUCUGGGGUAGUCUGGGUGGAACAAGGCAAAUGCAAUUGUGUGAAGGGUCAAUGCAGCAGGUCAUGUGCAGGGCUAGUCUUGAAAACAGUCUUCUUCCAUCAGCUGGAAAACUCUUUCCUGCCUCCAAUGACUGGAUUUUCCAACAAGACAAUGCCCCUUGUCACACGGCAAGGUCAGUUAAAGCCUGGAAGGAGAACCAGAACAUUGGAACCGUGCCUUGACCUGCUCAAUCAUCAGAUCUAAAUCCAACUGAAAACCUGUGGAAAGUCAUCAAACGCAAAAUGGAGAACCACAAGCUCAAAAACAAAGCAAAUGUGUUAGAAUUAGUACAACAGGAAUGGACUGCUGUGACAGCAGAACAAUGUCAGAAGCAGGUGGAGAGCAUGCCAAGAUGCAUGGCUGCAGUCAUCAGAAACAAUGGUAAUGCAAUCAAGUACUAACUCCUGUGUGGAUCAUGUGACUAAAACAAACAGAAAAAACAUUGAAUCCUAAAAGUUGUUUUUGCCAGUACAAUGCCAUAGCUAUUGAUGGAAGAACUUAAGGGAUUUUGGUUAUUAUCAAGAAAACUAUGCAAAAUGUCUAGAUAUCAGCUCUUAGAUUAAACCCUUAUGAGCUAUUGUUGUUAUCAUUACAUUUGUCCAAACAAAUGUACCUUUAGUUGUACCAGGCAUUUAAAUGAACAAGAAAUUUAACAAAACAA
Long non-coding RNA from Amphiprion ocellaris (clown anemonefish), 8688 nucleotides. RefSeq lists it as uncharacterized. The record is from RefSeq and is a predicted model, not a curated record. Lineage: Eukaryota; Metazoa; Chordata; Actinopteri; Pomacentridae. The transcript has 4 exons.